CGUCGCCCAACUUGGGCCGAUGGCCAACACACUGCUGGCGGCCGCCAGUGCGCCGCCUAAUCGCUUCGUCCACAAUCUUCAGGAUGAUCAGUUGAGCCAGAAGGUGCUCAAGGAGAUGAUGGUGGUCUUGGCUGAACCGUGUCCCCAAGUUCGCUCUUCAGACAGUACG
This is a long non-coding RNA of Synchiropus splendidus (mandarinfish), 169 nucleotides long. RefSeq lists it as uncharacterized. Lineage: Eukaryota; Metazoa; Chordata; Actinopteri; Syngnathiformes; Callionymidae. The record is from RefSeq and is a predicted model, not a curated record. The transcript is spliced from 3 exons.